AAAAAAAAAAAAAAAAGAGAAAAACCCCUACUAAAAGCUGAAUCCCAACUGAACAGUAUAAGAAUAAAAAAUUCCUGAGAGUUGGCAAUUGUUUGUUCGUAUGUACUCUAGACAUGUUAAUUAUCAAAUAAACAGUUCAGGUUAUUCAGCCAAAAAUGAUAAAAAAAUGGAAUUGGAAUCUUUUGUGUUCUGCUAUGAUUCAGUAGCUUGAUGUUACACUUUAAUGUCAACUACAGUGGUGUUGAUCGAUUCAAG
Molecule: unclassified non-coding RNA, 255 nt
Filed under: Hevea brasiliensis (rubber tree)
Lineage: Eukaryota; Viridiplantae; Streptophyta; Magnoliopsida; Malpighiales; Euphorbiaceae
Source: RNAcentral